UGAAGGUAGAGGUGCGAACUUCAAUAGUACAGGUUCGGAGAAGGAUGAGCUUCAAGGAAGAGCCUGGAAAGGGACGUUCGCCGAAGUGAGGAAAGCCUCAUUGCUUUCUUUGCUGGUCCUGUGUUGAAAAAAUACCGGAUUGUCAAGACAAGACGUCUUGGAGAGCUAUCUU
Molecule: non-coding RNA, 172 nt
Filed under: uncultured Neobacillus sp.
Lineage: Bacteria; Bacillati; Bacillota; Bacilli; Caryophanales; Bacillaceae
Description: Lysine riboswitch
Rfam family: Lysine riboswitch aptamer
About the family: Riboswitches are metabolite binding domains within certain messenger RNAs that serve as precision sensors for their corresponding targets. Allosteric rearrangement of mRNA structure is mediated by ligand binding, and this results in modulation of gene expression.
Source: RNAcentral